AGAGUUUGAUCAUGGCUCAGAUUGAACGCUGGCGGAAUGCUUUACACAUGCAAGUCGAACGGCAGCACGGGGGCAACCCUGGUGGCGAGUGGCGAACGGGUGAGUAAUACAUCGGAACGUGCCCAGUCGUGGGGGAUAACUACGCGAAAGCGUAGCUAAUACCGCAUACGAUCUACGGAUGAAAGCGGGGGAUCGCAAGACCUCGCGCGAUUGGAGCGGCCGAUGGCAGAUUAGGUAGUUAGUGGGGUAAAGGCUCACCAAGCCUGCGAUCUGUAGCUGGUCUGAGAGGACGACCAGCCACACUGGGACUGAGACACGGCCCAGACUCCUACGGGAGGCAGCAGUGGGGAAUUUUGGACAAUGGGCGCAAGCCUGAUCCAGCCAUUCCGCGUGCAGGAUGAAGGCCUUCGGGUUGUAAACUGCUUUUGUACGGAACGAAAAGGCUCUCUCUAAUACAGGGGGCUCAUGACGGUACCGUAAGAAUAAGCACCGGCUAACUACGUGCCAGCAGCCGCGGUAAUACGUAGGGUGCAAGCGUUAAUCGGAAUUACUGGGCGUAAAGCGUGCGCAGGCGGUGAUGUAAGACAGUUGUGAAAUCCCCGGGCUCAACCUGGGAACUGCAUCUGUGACUGCAUCGCUGGAGUGCGGCAGAGGGGGAUGGAAUUCCGCGUGUA
RNAcentral lists this ribosomal RNA (674 nucleotides) under uncultured Comamonadaceae bacterium. RNAcentral describes it as "bacterial SSU rRNA". It matches the Rfam family "Bacterial small subunit ribosomal RNA", at positions 8 to 677 of the family's 1533-position model. The record is from RNAcentral. Lineage: Bacteria; Pseudomonadati; Pseudomonadota; Betaproteobacteria; Burkholderiales; Comamonadaceae.